This 468-nucleotide ribosomal RNA is filed under the name uncultured bacterium. RNAcentral's name for it is "partial 16S ribosomal RNA". It matches the Rfam family "Bacterial small subunit ribosomal RNA", at positions 28 to 507 of the family's 1533-position model. The record is from RNAcentral.
GACGAACGCUGGCGGCGUGCUUAACACAUGCAAGUCGAACGGAAAGGCCCUGCUUUUGUGGGGUGCUCGAGUGGCGAACUGGUGAGUAACACGUGAGUAACCUGCCCUUGACUUUGGGAUAACUUCAUGAAACUGGGGCUAAUAGCGGAUAGGAGCUCCUGCUGCAUGGUGGGGGUUGGAAGGUUUCGGCGGUUGGUGAUGGACACGCGGCCUAUCGGCUUGUUGGUGGGGUAGUGGCUUACCAAGGCUUUGACGGGUGGCCGGCCUGAGAGGGUGAGCGGCCACAUUGGACCUGAGAUACGGCCCAGACUCCUCCGGGAGGCAGCGGUGGGGAAUAUUGCACAAUGGGCGGAAGCCUGAUGCAGUACCGCCGCGUGCGGGAUGACGGCAUUCGGGUUGUAAACCGCUUUCGCCUGUGACGAAGCGUGAGUGACGGUAAUGGGUAAAGAAGCACCGGCUAACUACGUG